RNAcentral lists this small RNA (101 nucleotides) under Sinorhizobium meliloti 2011. Its description in RNAcentral is "putative ncRNA". Lineage: Bacteria; Pseudomonadati; Pseudomonadota; Alphaproteobacteria; Hyphomicrobiales; Rhizobiaceae. The record is from RNAcentral.
GCUUUGCGGGCGCAUCUCAUCGAGAUGCUUGAGAUCGAGGCUGUAGAUGAAGUGCUUGUCUUCUUCGUAAUGUCGCAGCAUGGCAACGAUGGCGGCUGUGU